RNAcentral lists this ribosomal RNA (2843 nucleotides) under Klebsiella pneumoniae CHS 09. RNAcentral describes it as "bacterial LSU rRNA". It matches the Rfam family "Bacterial large subunit ribosomal RNA". The record is from RNAcentral. Lineage: Bacteria; Pseudomonadati; Pseudomonadota; Gammaproteobacteria; Enterobacterales; Enterobacteriaceae.
GCUAAUCUGCGAAAAGCGUCGGUAAGGUGAUAUGAACCGUUAUAACCGGCGAUGUCCGAAUGGGGAAACCCAGUGCAAUUCGUUGCACUAUCGUUAACUGAAUACAUAGGUUAACGAGGCGAACCGGGGGAACUGAAACAUCUAAGUACCCCGAGGAAAAGAAAUCAACCGAGAUUCCCCCAGUAGCGGCGAGCGAACGGGGAGCAGCCCAGAGUCUGAAUCAGCUUGUGUGUUAGUGGAACGGUCUGGAAAGUCCGACGGUACAGGGUGAUAGUCCCGUACACCAAAAUGCACAGGUUGUGAACUCGAAGAGUAGGGCGGGACACGUGGUAUCCUGUCUGAAUAUGGGGGGACCAUCCUCCAAGGCUAAAUACUCCUGACUGACCGAUAGUGAACCAGUACCGUGAGGGAAAGGCGAAAAGAACCCCGGCGAGGGGAGUGAAAAAGAACCUGAAACCGUGUACGUACAAGCAGUGGGAGCACCUUCGGGUGUGACUGCGUACCUUUUGUAUAAUGGGUCAGCGACUUAUAUUCUGUAGCAAGGUUAACCGUAUAGGGGAGCCGCAGGGAAACCGAGUCUUAACUGGGCGUUAAGUUGCAGGGUAUAGACCCGAAACCCGGUGAUCUAGCCAUGGGCAGGUUGAAGGUUGGGUAACACUAACUGGAGGACCGAACCGACUAAUGUUGAAAAAUUAGCGGAUGACUUGUGGCUGGGGGUGAAAGGCCAAUCAAACCGGGAGAUAGCUGGUUCUCCCCGAAAGCUAUUUAGGUAGCGCCUCGUGAACUCAUCUUCGGGGGUAGAGCACUGUUUCGGCUAGGGGGUCAUCCCGACUUACCAACCCGAUGCAAACUACGAAUACCGAAGAAUGUUAUCACGGGAGACACACGGCGGGUGCUAACGUCCGUCGUGAAGAGGGAAACAACCCAGACCGCCAGCUAAGGUCCCAAAGUCAUGGUUAAGUGGGAAACGAUGUGGGAAGGCACAGACAGCCAGGAUGUUGGCUUAGAAGCAGCCAUCAUUUAAAGAAAGCGUAAUAGCUCACUGGUCGAGUCGGCCUGCGCGGAAGAUGUAACGGGGCUAAACCAUGCACCGAAGCUGCGGCAGCGACACUAUGUGUUGUUGGGUAGGGGAGCGUUCUGUAAGCCUGCGAAGGUGUGCUGUGAGGCAUGCUGGAGGUAUCAGAAGUGCGAAUGCUGACAUAAGUAACGAUAAAGCGGGUGAAAAGCCCGCUCGCCGGAAGACCAAGGGUUCCUGUCCAACGUUAAUCGGGGCAGGGUGAGUCGACCCCUAAGGCGAGGCCGAAAGGCGUAGUCGAUGGGAAACAGGUUAAUAUUCCUGUACUUGGUGUUACUGCGAAGGGGGGACGGAGAAGGCUAUGUUAGCCGGGCGACGGUUGUCCCGGUUUAAGCAUGUAGGCUGAUUGUCCAGGCAAAUCCGGAUAAUCAAGGCUGAGGUGUGAUGACGAGGCACUACGGUGCUGAAGUAACAAAUGCCCUGCUUCCAGGAAAAGCCUCUAAGCAUCAGGUAACAUUAAAUCGUACCCCAAACCGACACAGGUGGUCAGGUAGAGAAUACCAAGGCGCUUGAGAGAACUCGGGUGAAGGAACUAGGCAAAAUGGUGCCGUAACUUCGGGAGAAGGCACGCUGGUGUGUAGGUGAAGUCCCUGCGGAUGGAGCUGAGACCAGUCGAAGAUACCAGCUGGCUGCAACUGUUUAUUAAAAACACAGCACUGUGCAAACACGAAAGUGGACGUAUACGGUGUGACGCCUGCCCGGUGCCGGAAGGUUAAUUGAUGGGGUUAUCCGUAAGGAGAAGCUCUUGAUCGAAGCCCCGGUAAACGGCGGCCGUAACUAUAACGGUCCUAAGGUAGCGAAAUUCCUUGUCGGGUAAGUUCCGACCUGCACGAAUGGCGUAAUGAUGGCCAGGCUGUCUCCACCCGAGACUCAGUGAAAUUGAACUCGCUGUGAAGAUGCAGUGUACCCGCGGCAAGACGGAAAGACCCCGUGAACCUUUACUAUAGCUUGACACUGAACAUUGAGCCUUGAUGUGUAGGAUAGGUGGGAGGCUUUGAAGCGUGGACGCCAGUCUGCGUGGAGCCAACCUUGAAAUACCACCCUUUAAUGUUUGAUGUUCUAACGUUGGCCCCUGACCGGGGUUGCGGACAGUGUCUGGUGGGUAGUUUGACUGGGGCGGUCUCCUCCCAAAGCGUAACGGAGGAGCACGAAGGUUAGCUAAUCCUGGUCGGACAUCAGGAGGUUAGUGCAAUGGCAUAAGCUAGCUUGACUGCGAGCGUGACGGCGCGAGCAGGUGCGAAAGCAGGUCAUAGUGAUCCGGUGGUUCUGAAUGGAAGGGCCAUCGCUCAACGGAUAAAAGGUACUCCGGGGAUAACAGGCUGAUACCGCCCAAGAGUUCAUAUCGACGGCGGUGUUUGGCACCUCGAUGUCGGCUCAUCACAUCCUGGGGCUGAAGUAGGUCCCAAGGGUAUGGCUGUUCGCCAUUUAAAGUGGUACGCGAGCUGGGUUUAGAACGUCGUGAGACAGUUCGGUCCCUAUCUGCCGUGGGCGCUGGAGAAUUGAGGGGGGCUGCUCCUAGUACGAGAGGACCGGAGUGGACGCAUCACUGGUGUUCGGGUUGUCAUGCCAAUGGCACUGCCCGGUAGCUAAAUGCGGAAGAGAUAAGUGCUGAAAGCAUCUAAGCACGAAACUUGCCCCGAGAUGAGUUCUCCCUGAGACUUUAAGUCUCCUGAAGGAACGUUGAAGACGACGACGUUGAUAGGCCGGGUGUGUAAGCGCAGCGAUGCGUUGAGCUAACCGGUACUAAUGAACCGUGAGGCUUAACCUU